This 499-nucleotide ribosomal RNA is filed under the name Pseudomonas sp. DsF.N001. RNAcentral's name for it is "bacterial SSU rRNA". It matches the Rfam family "Bacterial small subunit ribosomal RNA", at positions 119 to 613 of the family's 1533-position model. Lineage: Bacteria; Pseudomonadati; Pseudomonadota; Gammaproteobacteria; Pseudomonadales; Pseudomonadaceae. The record is from RNAcentral.
AGGAAUCUGCCUGGUGGUGGGGGACAACGUUUCGAAAGGAACGCUAAUACCGCAUACGUGCUACGGGAGAAAGCAGGGGACCUUCGGGCCUUGCGCUAUCAGAUGAGCCUAGCUCGGAUUAGCUAGUUGGUGGGGUAAUGGCUCACCAAGGCGACGAUCCGUAACUGGUCUGAGAGGAUGAUCAGUCACACUGGAACUGAGACACGGUCCAGACUCCUACGGGAGGCAGCAGUGGGGAAUAUUGGACAAUGGGCGAAAGCCUGAUCCAGCCAUGCCGCGUGUGUGAAGAAGGUCUUCGGAUUGUAAAGCACUUUAAGUUGGGAGGAAGGGCAGUAAGCUAAUACCUUGCUGUUUUUGACGUUACCGACAGAAUAAGCACCGGCUAAGUCUGUGCCAGCAGCCGCGGUAAUACAGAGGGUGCAAGCGUUAAUCGGAAUUACUGGSCGUAAAGCGCGCGUASGUGGUUUGUUAAKWUGGAUGWGAAAGCCCCGGKCUCAAC